Myodes glareolus (Bank vole) is the source of this 1930-nucleotide non-coding RNA. NCBI's taxonomy places the organism in Eukaryota, Metazoa, Chordata, Mammalia, Rodentia, Cricetidae. The record is from RefSeq and is a predicted model, not a curated record.
GUGAAGUGAGGACGGCAGCAGAGCAGGCAACUGUCCGGCCGUACCCCAGGCAGAGCGUUUACGGAUGUCCUGGGGCUGAAACUGCCCAGGGACUUUGACACAGGCGGCAUGUCCUCUAGCAUCUGAUGACCUGAAUGUGAAUAACCAGCUUUGUCAUUUGAGAAACAAUUGCUGCCACUCGUGUGGAAUAUGGAGGUGACAGAUGAGAAAACUCUUGCUGGCUCCAUGGGAGUUAGAAUCCUGGGAGAGACGAAGCACACUCUGAAUUCUCUUCCACACCAACGGAUGCCUACUACCGAACAAGACAAGGUCAGAAGACAAGUCAAGAUCAUCUCAGAAGCACUCCAAUCAAUCACACUUCCCAUAACUCCCGAAGCAUCUUCCAGCAGCUUCGGCCAGGCAUUAACACUGCACUGCCCUUGAACCUGGUGGAGAGGGCGACUUGUCCUCCUGAGCAUAUGCAAAGCAGUGACUGCGGGCUUGGAGGGCCCAGAACACUGGCUGUGCUUGUGGUCCCGUCAGGAGAUGGUGGUUCCUGCAGCGCUGGCACACAUCUGACGCCACAACACACAAGCUGGGUGUGGGUGAAGAAUGGGGACCCCUUUCGACCUAAGCGAAAGUUCUUAAAACCUCUUGGCUAUAACCACAGCCUCUCCUUCAAUCCGAGGGAAAUAGAUUCCUAAAUCUUUCUCUGACAGCCCCCAGAAUGGGCACAUCGGAUCCCAGCGACACCUGGGUGGUGGGUAGCUGUUUGCUUUCACUAACUAACUGUUCACCUGUCUCCCUCCAAACUUCUGGUCUCCGCCACUAUGGUAAGCUCUUACAGGAUCGCACCGCCCUCGCCAGCGCUCAGGGGAUGAGCCACGUGGAGACGCCAAUCUGGGACGCAGCCACCGGCUUUACCUUUGCGCCUCGGUGUGGGAGGACUCUGCAGUCCGCGCGCAGCCCAGCUGUCAGGCACCAUGCCGGAACCCGCACCUAGGGCCCCGGGACACCUACCUGCCAGCCGCCUCUCGCGAACGUUCCUCCACAGCAGAUCCCAGGCUCUGGCGGUGGAGUCCCGCAGCUGCUCGCUCAGCGACCUCCGGAGCGGCGCGUGGACUGCUCCGCGUGGACUGCUCAUCUCAGACGCGUCCUCAUAGCGCGGGGCAGCCUGGCCGCUGCCUGGGGCACUAGGACGCUCGGCCACGCGGGACCCGGUGCGCCCGCCAGGCGCCCUGCGAGGCGGCCUCUGCGCUCCACCAGCCCCUCUCCCUUCUCCCGCUGCGUCCUCCCUCUCUCCUUCCCUCCCUCCCCGGCUCCUCCCUGCACUCUAGCCCAGCCUGACAGCCCGCCCCAGGUCUUUCCAUCUCACCCCAAAGUUAGGGGCUGUGUCAUAGCCCUCCUAUUUCCUGGUUCUCUCCAUUGCUCCCCAUCCCCACUCUGACACCAGAGUUUUGAUAUUUCAGCAGCUAGAGCCCAAGACUCUCAGAGUUCCGGAUUUAAAGCACUUGCACUCAGCCAGGCUGACCUUCUGGGUUCCUACACGGUGUUUUUGAGUUAUGUUGUACCUUCCUGGUUCCAUCAAAUGAAAUAAUUUUCAAAGUAUAAUCUACAGCUGACAGUGAAGUGGACCUGAGGGAGUCAACAUAUCUGUAUGCAGAAUUCUAAGAGGAAAAUGGGAAAUGACCUUCAGUAUCCUUAUCAAAAGUAUGCAGUAUACAUAAUAGAAAUUAAAACUGAUUCCUGAACGGAAGUGAAAGUGAAUGGAUUAUGUUGCUCUUAAACAAAUGCACUAUGGUCUUGAUUUAAACAACCGGAUCAUGGUCUUUAAGAAAACGACCACUUCUUUACUUCAUGAGGUGAUGAAUGGCCAAGUUCUAUGGGCUUCAAACUUUUCAUUCAAGAAGGCAAACACAAGUCAGGCCAUGGCUCACAUCUGUAAUCCCAA